AGCUUCCGUUCGUGGAUGAAGGCUUAGAUCUAGACGCAAGGUCAAAUGAUCCAACUAGACGAUUUUAGACCUUGUUUUGUGGCAGUGUCGAAUUCGAUGUCUAGUCGUACUGCAGUCAGGCUGUUACAGUGUUUGCUUAGCGAUGAUACGACCCAAGUAGGAAUCCGGACCGUUCGCGAAUGGGCUAGCUUAUUCGGGAAUUCUCAUACGGGCUAACCCAUUCGCGAAUAGUCGCGCGAAAUACGAACCCGCGUUAGUUCUAGACAUGGCUGAUCACCGUCGGGACAGCUUCCGCGAAUUUCUGCAGACUCUUUCAGCGAAACAGAACUCGCAAUUAAUUAGUGAAGAGAAGGCUAAGCGAAUCCGACGAGUUCUGGCGAGUGGAGAUGGAAAGCACGCGCGAGUUGACAGCCCUCGUUUCAGAUUUUAUGUUCGUAGCAAGGGGUUCGCAGUAAUCGACCUGCCCGUGCUAGGGCUGAAAGAAGUUCUUUGUGUGCCUGCACCAAAGGGAAGUGAAACAAAGACAUCUUUGCUUGGGAACUGGCUAAAAGUAGCGAACGUGUCUGAAAUUUAUGAUAUCCUCAACUAUCCAUGAAGGCUCUAGAGUGCACGCUGGAUAUCGGAAAGUUUUUGCAGAUGUUCAAAAGCAGUAUUUUGGCAUCCCGAGACCUGCAGUUCAACAAUUUGUGAAGACAUGCGUUAUCUGCGCAUGUAAAACGCCACAAAUGUCAGUAGCUACUGUCAAGCCGAUUAUUUCACCAGGUUUCAUGCGAAGAGGCCAGAUAGAUCUUAUUGAUAUGACAGUAGACCCUGAUGGAGACUUCAAAUAUAUCAGUCAUUAUA
Molecule: long non-coding RNA, 843 nt
Organism: Corticium candelabrum
Lineage: Eukaryota; Metazoa; Porifera; Homoscleromorpha; Homosclerophorida; Plakinidae
Exons: 3
Source: RefSeq, a predicted model, not a curated record